RNAcentral lists this ribosomal RNA (605 nucleotides) under uncultured bacterium. RNAcentral's name for it is "bacterial SSU rRNA". The stretch from base 1 to 534 matches the Rfam family "Bacterial small subunit ribosomal RNA", at positions 338 to 873 of the family's 1533-position model. The record is from RNAcentral.
CCUACGGGAGGCAGCAGUAAGGAAUAUUGGACAAUGCUCGCAAGAGUGAUCCAGCCAUGCCGCGUGCAGGAAGAAUGCCCUAUGGGUAGUAAACUGCUUUUGAACCAGAGAAAAUCCCAGUACGUGUACUGGGCUGAUAGUAUAGCUAGAAUAAGCAUCGGCUAACUUCGUGCCAGCAGCCGCGGUAAGACGAAGGAUGCAAGCGUUAUCCGGAUUCAUUGGGUUUAAAGGGAGCGUAGGUGGACUGAUAAGUCAGUGGUGAAAUCUCCGAGCUUAACUCGGAAAUUGCCAUUGAUACUGUUGGUCUUGAGUACAGUUGCUGUGGGCGGAAUAUGACAUGUAGUGGUGAAAUACAUAGAGAUGUCAUAGAACACCGAUUGCGAAGGCAGCUCACAAAGCUGUAACUGACACUGAGGCUCGAAAGUGCGGGGAUCAAACAGGAUUAGAUACCCUGGUAGUCCGCACCGUAAACGAUGAUUACUCGCUGCUAGGGGGCAACCUUUAGUGGCUUAGCGAAAGCGAUAGUAAUCCACCUGGGGAGAGCGCGACGAGAAGUAAGUUAGAGUUAGAGGNGNGAGAGNGCGACGGCGACGAGAGGGAGGAGG